GAUGAACGCUGGCGGCGUGCCUAAUACAUGCAAGUCGAGCGGACGGACGAGAAGCUUGCUUCUCUGAUGUUAGCGGCGGACGGGUGAGUAACACGUGGAUAACCUACCUAUAAGACUGGGAUAACUUCGGGAAACCGGAGCUAAUACGGGAGGAUAUUUUGAACCGCGUGGUUGAAAAGUGAAAGACGGUCUUGCUGUCACGAAUAGAUGGAUCCGCGCUGCAUUGGCUAGUUGGUAAGGUAACGGCUUACGAAGGGAACGAUGCAUAGCCGACCUGAGGGGGUGAUCGGCCACACUGGAGCUGGGACACGGUCCAGACUCCUACGGGAGGCAGCAGUAGGGAAUCUUCCGCAAUGGGCGAAAGCCUGACGGAGCGACGCCGCGUGAGUGAUGAAGGUCUUCGGAUCGUAAAACUCUGUUAUUAGGGAAGAACAUAUGUGUAAGUAACCGUGCACAUCUUGACGGUACCUAAUCAGAAAGCCACGGCUAACUACGUG
Molecule: ribosomal RNA, 497 nt
Filed under: uncultured bacterium
Lineage: Bacteria
Description: partial 16S ribosomal RNA
Rfam family: Bacterial small subunit ribosomal RNA
Source: RNAcentral